AUCCUUGAGGGCCAUACAGAUUUGAUUAUGGCCAGAGAAAGCAUCCAUGAGCGAGGCAAGAUGGUGAUCCAAAGUGGCAGCUAUCAGUUGGUCGAUCUAAAGUAACGAGUAACUAUCCUUCGGACAUAUUUUAUUGAGGUCAAUGUAGUCAACAAACAUACACUACUUUUCAUUCGCCUUCUUGACCAGUACUAUAUUUGCUAGUCACUCGAGAUAGUUUACCUCUCGAACAAAGCCAACCUUUAGGAGCUUAUCUAUCUCUUCCUCUAUUGCUUUCUGAUGCUUCAAUGUGAAAAUCCUCUUCUUUUGCCUGACAGGAUAAUGCUUUGGAUCCAUAUUUAGAUAGUGAAUGAUAAUCUAUGGGUCUAUAUCUAGCAUAUCUGAGAUCGAUGAAGUAAAAAUAUCUGUAUUGGAUCAAAGAAAUGAGGCAAGAUGCUAAUGGUCCUCAUCAUUUAGGUUGGAACCGAUCGAAUAGUUCUAUCGGGUCAGACUCCUCUAGCAC
Molecule: long non-coding RNA, 502 nt
Filed under: Elaeis guineensis (African oil palm)
Lineage: Eukaryota; Viridiplantae; Streptophyta; Magnoliopsida; Arecales; Arecaceae
Description: long non-coding RNA (EGUI_LNC002311)
Source: RNAcentral